Long non-coding RNA from Dreissena polymorpha, 1713 nucleotides. RefSeq lists it as uncharacterized. The transcript is spliced from 3 exons. The record is from RefSeq and is a predicted model, not a curated record. NCBI's taxonomy places the organism in Eukaryota, Metazoa, Mollusca, Bivalvia, Myida, Dreissenidae.
CAUUAACUCCAGUCACAUAAAUAUGAUCAACAAUUACAAUUAUAUCAAUCUUUCUCUUAAACACAGUCUUUCAAAACCGUAACUUCUCCAACAAAACACAAAGUUCAAUUAGUGAAUUAGCCUUCAAACUAUGAUCACUGGAUUCGUUCUUCUCUAUACAUUGUUUCUCUGCGUUUAUAUAAACUCCCGAAGUGUAGUCGUGGUCUAAAUUACUGUUUAUUUCACUUUAACUUACUGGAAACGCCCGCGUAUGUCACGGAUCGACAUUUUGACAAGUCGCAAAAAUAGAUGACAGGAAAUGCCGGUCUACAUCGGAAGUGACGUUAUGGCGUUAUUUUAUUUAAACGUGUUCAGUGAUUCGUUCUUGUCAACAAAUAUUGUGGUCUGCAGAGUUUACUAUACGCUGUUCUACUGGGGAAAAAGUGACAAACAAACAGGGUGAUGAAUGUCCCCCAUAUGGCAAAAUUCAACUUGAGUGGGCAUCCACAACCAAAUGCUGGAAAAAGCUUCAAACAGACUGCAGUGUAUUCUGUCUUCAAGAGCACAUGUGAACAGUUUUCCUCAUACCAGAAAGGACCCGGAGGCAGUGCAUGGUGUUCAAUAUUCUCAAAUAUGCGCCAGAAAGGAAAAUGGCAGUGUGUUGAAGACAUUGACAAACAAUUUGAAAACUAGUCUUUGUGCUAAGCCUGGCAGUCUGUGGCUGAUGACAUUGUUUGUAGUCUCUCAUGUUUGCAAAUACACUUAUAAUAACCUUUGCAAGACCUCAGUUCAUGAACUCAUGAAGAAUUUUAGUUCAUGAACUAUUCACUUACAGUUCGUGAACAGAAAAUGAGCCAUUGAAAAAUAGAAGGAAAGUGUUCAUGAACUGUUCAUGAACAGCACAACCCUAAAGAACUUUUCAAGAACUGUGUUGUUCAUGAACUGUUCAAGAACACUUCAUACCAUUGGUGUUCAUGAAUAGUUCAUGAACAGUUCAUGCCAUAAGGGUUCAAGAAUAGUUCAUGAACAUUUCAUGUCAUUAUGGUUCAAGAAUAGUUCAUGAACACUUCAUGUCAUUAGGUUUCAAGAAUAUUUCAUGAACACUUCAUGCCAAUAGUGUUCAUGAACAGUUCAUGAACUAAAAUUUCAAGAACAUUUCAUAGACGUGACUCAUUUUCUGUUCACUGACUAUUCGUGAACUAUUCAUGAACUCGGUUCACGAACAGUUCAUGAACUGUUCACGAAUUAUUUGUGAACUGCAAAACAACAUUUCGCAGGGGUAUUCUCAAUAUUCAAGUAUUUGUUGGCAAGAAAAACAAGUUCAAUUCUACAAAUUUGUCAAACAAUGCGAUUUCCGCAAUGCAAAGGGCCCCUGUCCCAUUAACAAAAUGGUGAGAACUGCAUGCACACAGUGUCAGAAAAGAAAUGAAGUGUGUUGGAUUUCAAAACAUGGUAUUGGUUAGGUUUUGUAAAGGACAUUGUAAUUGUAUAUGAUAAUUUCUAUAAACAUUGAAUUUGUUUACAUUUUCAAAGCAACUUAGUAUUGAUGAUAUGUAUUUUUGAACACAGCAAUUGAAACACGGUCAUCAUACUAAAGCAUCUUGCUUAUGUGGACAAUACUUAUUCUUCAAAUAUGGUAUAACAGCUGUCAACAAUUUACGAGAACAAAUUUUGCUUUAAUUACAGGUUGUUUUCUUGCAAAAUUAAAAAAUUAUUGCUCAGAAGAUCUAUUGA